Molecule: ribosomal RNA, 2232 nt
Filed under: Campylobacter coli
Lineage: Bacteria; Pseudomonadati; Campylobacterota; Epsilonproteobacteria; Campylobacterales; Campylobacteraceae
Description: partial 23S ribosomal RNA
Rfam family: Bacterial large subunit ribosomal RNA
Source: RNAcentral
UAAAUACUAAUACCAGAUCGAUAGUGCACAAGUACCGUGAGGGAAAGGUGAAAAGAACUGAGGUGAUCAGAGUGAAAUAGAACCUGAAACCAUUUGCUUACAAUCAUUCAGAGCCCUAUGUAGCAAUACAGGGUGAUGGACUGCCUUUUGCAUAAUGAGCCUGCGAGUUGUGGUGUCUGGCAAGGUUAAGCAAACGCGAAGCCGUAGCGAAAGCGAGUCUGAAUAGGGCGCUUAGUCAGAUGCUGCAGACCCGAAACGAAGUGAUCUAUCCAUGAGCAAGUUGAAGCUAGUGUAAGAACUAGUGGAGGACUGAACCCAUAGGCGUUGAAAAGCCCCGGGAUGACUUGUGGAUAGGGGUGAAAGGCCAAUCAAACUUCGUGAUAGCUGGUUCUCUCCGAAAUAUAUUUAGGUAUAGCGUUGUGUCGUAAUAUAAGGGGGUAGAGCACUGAAUGGGCUAGGGCAUACACCAAUGUACCAAACCCUAUCAAACUCCGAAUACCUUAUAUGUAAUCACAGCAGUCAGGCGGCGAGUGAUAAAAUCCGUCGUCAAGAGGGAAACAACCCAGACUACCAGCUAAGGUCCCUAAAUCUUACUUAAGUGGAAAACGAUGUGAAGUUACUUAAACAACCAGGAGGUUGGCUUAGAAGCAGCCAUCCUUUAAAGAAAGCGUAAUAGCUCACUGGUCUAGUGAUUUUGCGCGGAAAAUAUAACGGGGCUAAAGUAAGUACCGAAGCUGUAGACUUGCGCACAACUUAGAUUAUUUAAGUUUAGAAUAUGAGAAACUAAGUUAUAUGUUUAGUUAUAUUUUUACUGAUUUUUAUAGAGUAAAGAUAGAAAUAAAACUUAGUAAAAUCAGUAAAAAUAUUCUUAGACUAAAGUUAAGUAGUUUAAGUUGUGUGCAAGUGGUAGGAGAGCGUUCUAUUUGCGUCGAAGGUAUACCGGUAAGGAGUGCUGGAGCGAAUAGAAGUGAGCAUGCAGGCAUGAGUAGCGAUAAUUAAUGUGAGAAUCAUUAACGCCGUAAACCCAAGGUUUCCUACGCGAUGCUCGUCAUCGUAGGGUUAGUCGGGUCCUAAGCCGAGUCCGAAAGGGGUAGGCGAUGGCAAAUUGGUUAAUAUUCCAAUACCAACAUUAGUGUGCGAUGGAAGGACGCUUAGGGCUAAGGGGGCUAGCGGAUGGAAGUGCUAGUCUAAGGUCGUAGGAGGUUAUACAGGCAAAUCCGUAUAACAAUACUCCGAGAACUGAAAGGCUUUUUGAAGUCUUCGGAUGGAUAGAAGAACCCCUGAUGCCGUCGAGCCAAGAAAAGUUUCUAAGUUUAGCUAAUGUUGCCCGUACCGUAAACCGACACAGGUGGGUGGGAUGAGUAUUCUAAGGCGCGUGGAAGAACUCUCUUUAAGGAACUCUGCAAAAUAGCACCGUAUCUUCGGUAUAAGGUGUGGUUCGCUUCGUACUAGGAUUUACUCCGAAAGCGAAGAAACUUACAACAAAGAGUCCCUCCCGACUGUUUACCAAAAACACAGCACUCUGCUAACUCGUAAGAGGAUGUAUAGGGUGUGACGCCUGCCCGGUGCUCGAAGGUUAAUUGAUGGGGUUAGCAUUAGCGAAGCUCUUGAUCGAAGCCCGAGUAAACGGCGGCCGUAACUAUAACGGUCCUAAGGUAGCGAAAUUCCUUGUCGGUUAAAUACCGACCUGCAUGAAUGGCGUAACGAGAUGGGAGCUGUCUCAAAGAGGGAUCCAGUGAAAUUGUAGUGGAGGUGAAAAUUCCUCCUACCCGCGGCAAGACGGAAAGACCCCGUGGACCUUUACUACAGCUUGACACUGCUACUUGGAUAAGAAUGUGCAGGAUAGGUGGGAGGCUUUGAGUAUAUGACGCCAGUUGUAUAUGAGCCAUUGUUGAGAUACCACUCUUUCUUAUUUGGGUAGCUAACCAGCUUGAGUUAUCCUCAAGUGGGACAAUGUCUGGUGGGUAGUUUGACUGGGGCGGUCGCCUCCCAAAUAAUAACGGAGGCUUACAAAGGUUGGCUCAGAACGGUUGGAAAUCGUUCGUAGAGUAUAAAGGUAUAAGCCAGCUUAACUGCAAGACAUACAAGUCAAGCAGAGACGAAAGUCGGUCUUAGUGAUCCGGUGGUUCUGUGUGGAAGGGCCAUCGCUCAAAGGAUAAAAGGUACCCCGGGGAUAACAGGCUGAUCUCCCCCAAGAGCUCACAUCGACGGGGAGGUUUGGCACCUCGAUGU